AUACGUAGGGGGCGAGCGUUGUCCGGAAUGAUUGGGCGUAAAGGGCGCGUAGGCGGCCCGGUAAGUCUGGAGUGAAAGUCCUGUUUUUAAGAUGGGAAUUGCUUUGGAUACUGUCGGGCUUGAGUGCAGGAGAGGUAAGUGGAAUUCCCAGUGUAGCGGUGAAAUGCGUAGAGAUUGGGAGGAACACCAGUGGCGAAGGCGACUGACUGGACUGUAACUGACGAUGAGGCGCGAAAGUGUGGGGAGCAAACAGGAUUAGAUACCCUGGUAGUCCACACUGUAAACGAUGAAUGCUAGGUGUAGGGGGUAUCGACCCCUUCUGUGCCGCAGUCAACACAAUAAGCAUUCCGCCUGGGGAGUACGGCCGCAAGGUUGAAACUCAAAGGAAUUGACGGGG
This 397-nucleotide ribosomal RNA is filed under the name uncultured bacterium. RNAcentral describes it as "partial 16S ribosomal RNA". It matches the Rfam family "Bacterial small subunit ribosomal RNA", at positions 523 to 918 of the family's 1533-position model. The record is from RNAcentral.